Molecule: ribosomal RNA, 118 nt
Filed under: Inconstantimicrobium porci
Lineage: Bacteria; Bacillati; Bacillota; Clostridia; Eubacteriales; Clostridiaceae
Source: RNAcentral
UCUGGUUAUGAUGUGUUUUUGGGUUACACCCCUUCCCAUUCCGAACAGGAUGGUUAAGCCAAUUACAGCUGAUGGUACUGCAUGGGGGACCGUGUGGGAGAGUAAGUGGUAGCCAGGU